This 604-nucleotide ribosomal RNA is filed under the name uncultured archaeon. RNAcentral describes it as "bacterial SSU rRNA". It matches the Rfam family "Archaeal small subunit ribosomal RNA", at positions 318 to 921 of the family's 1478-position model. The record is from RNAcentral.
AGGCCCUACGGGGCGCAGCAGGCGCGAAACCUCCGCAAUGCGGGAAACCGCGACGGGGUCAGCCGGAGUGCUCGCGCAUCGCGCGGGCUGUCGGGGUGCCUAAAAAGCACCCCACAGCAAGGGCCGGGCAAGGCCGGUGGCAGCCGCCGCGGUAAUACCGGCGGCCCGAGUGGCGGCCACUUUUAUUGGGCCUAAAGCGUCCGUAGCCGGGCUGGUAAGUCCUCCGGGAAAUCUGGUCGCUUAACGAUCAGACUUCCGGAGGAUACUGCCAGCCUAGGGACCGGGAGAGGCCGGGGGUAUUCCCGGAGUAGGGGUGAAAUCCUGUAAUCCCGGGAGGACCACCUGUGGCGAAGGCGCCCGGCUGGAACGGGUCCGACGGUGAGGGACGAAGGCCAGGGGAGCGAACCGGAUUAGAUACCCGGGUAGUCCUGGCUGUAAACGAUGCGGACUAGGUGUCACCGAAGCUACGAGCUUCGGUGGUGCCGGAGGGAAGCCGUUAAGUCCGCCGCCUGGGGAGUACGGCCGCAAGGCUGAAACUUAAAGGAAUUGGCGGGGGAGCACUACAACCGGGUGGAGCCUGCGGUUUAAUUGGAUUCAACGCCGG